Molecule: long non-coding RNA, 1644 nt
Filed under: Mus musculus (house mouse)
Lineage: Eukaryota; Metazoa; Chordata; Mammalia; Rodentia; Muridae
Description: long non-coding RNA chr15:30990405-30992049
Source: RNAcentral
GAACACAAUUUGGACCUCUUCAGAGGGUGGCCAGGGCGUAUGUUUUGACUAUUAUUUGGACAAUUAUUUUCACAGUGAAGAAGUCUUGAAUGUGAAUGUGACUGACAAGCUCUAAGUAUCUGAGGUUGGUGAGCGGACGAGCCCGAGUUACUAAAAGCCCAAAGGAUUUGCGACAUACAUUCCUUUCUCUCUCAAGUCACUCAAAGAAAAUGAGAAUUGACAGGCUUUGUGGGCUGUAGAACCUUCAAGGACAGCGAAGGCGAAAAACUCGUAUUUGUUUCUUCAACACUGAGUAGUUUCCGGGUGUCCACUGAGAAAUCCCUGUUCUGAAGCCAAAUAAAUCUUAUCAGAGGAAGAAAAUAUAAGAGCUGUUUAUAAAGCAAAAAAGAAAAGGGCCCGUGACUCUACAUGGGCAGCCACUGCUAACUGUUUAUGUUGGGUUCUAGCCGAUGUCCCCAGUGUAAAUUAACAGUGUUUAUUGUCAAAGUCAAUUGCUUAAUGACAGUCAGAGAUGUCCCUUUAUCAUAAGAGUUUGCCAAAUCUAAACAAUACAAUACAAAAACAAUACAACAAAACUGGCUGUGGAGUGCUGUAAACGGGGCCACCAACACUGAACUUACCCAGCUGUGGCUCUUCACUGUCACCAUGUGCUCCACACUUGCGUGGCCUCCCAAGCUCAUCUCCCCAAAUCAGAGGUCAGAGGCUAGAAAAACAAGGAACUCAGAAUCCUAGUCCCUGCUAACUCUUGCCUGUUUACUAAGAAUUUGCUCUGUCGCCCCGUUUUUUUUUUUUCUUCUGACCACCAAGUCUCCACACUUGCCUUGUAGCAGCUGCUGAGACAUUUCUCUUCCUUCCACCUUCUCAUAAACUCUUUUCUAUGACCUGAGACAACUCAUCCCCCAAUCGUUUUCCUCCUCUGAUGUACAUUACGGUUGUCCGUCCUUCCCCUUAUGGAGGGGCAGUUGGGGAACAGGUAGCUGGGAGUCUGUGUACAACCCCCCACAUGGUUCUCAUCCCAUCUCACCCAAUGCUCUCCACCCCUUCAGAUGACAGGGUCAGCACACCUUCUGGAGUGUGAGUCUGUCUUCAUUGCUCCCUAGCCAGUGAGGAUGCCUCCCACUAGGUAAUGCCUCCAGGAACCAGUCCCUCAGUAUGCUAGGCCCACUCACAGUGGGUGUGAGUGCCUGGACCCAGCCUUGAGAAACUGGAGCAUAACUAAUAAGAAAUGUGAUGUGUUCCCCCUUCUCACCCUUUGAUCCCCAGUUCUCCCUGGGGAGGGGGAGAGUUGAGUGUCUUCUCUGUGGGCAGAAGCUUGUAUUUUCUGAGACAGCAGAGAUGAAGGCACAAGGCCACAUACUCUGUAAGAUGUGCCUGGGAUGGGCAUCAGUGCAGGGGCCAGAGGUACAGAUGGAUCGAUGCUUCAGAAUUGCUCUCAAGGUUAGAUAAAAAUGAGGCAAGAUCAUACAGUCCACACUGGAGUCUGGGUGGGCAGCGGAGAGAAGCCAACAUGGACCCUGAUGGGGCCACCGAGCUGAAGGCCCCCUUCUGAACUAUAUCAGCUGAACCAAUGUGGCUUUGCAGCCCCGCCGUGGGUAUGCCAUGGACCAUCGGCAGAGAAAGAUUCUCGUGGGAUUGCUUUCCACU